GAUGAACGCUGGCGGCGUGCCUAAUACAUGCAAGUCGAGCGAAUGGAUUAAGAGCUUGCUCUUAUGAAGUUAGCGGCGGACGGGUGAGUAACACGUGGGUAACCUGCCCAUAAGACUGGGAUAACUCCGGGAAACCGGGGCUAAUACCGGAUAACAUUUUGAACCGCAUGGUUCGAAAUUGAAAGGCGGCGUCGGCUGUCACUUAUGGAUGGAGCCGCGUCGCAUUAGCUAGUUGGUGAGGUAACGGCUGACCAAGGCAACGAUGCGUAGCCGACCUGAGAGGGUGAUCGGCCACACUGGGACUGAGACACGGCCCAGACUCCUACGGGAGGCAGCAGUAGGGAAUCUUCCGCAAUGGACGAAAGUCUGACGGAGCAACGCCGCGUGAGUGAUGAAGGCUUUCGGAUCGUAAAACUCUGUUGUUAGGGAAGAACAAGUGCUAGUUGAAUAAGCUGGCACCUUGACGGUACCUAACCAGAAAGCCACGGCUAACUACGUGCCAGCCGCCGCGGUAA
Molecule: ribosomal RNA, 515 nt
Filed under: uncultured bacterium
Lineage: Bacteria
Description: partial 16S ribosomal RNA
Rfam family: Bacterial small subunit ribosomal RNA
Source: RNAcentral